AUGCAAGGAUAUACUAAAACUAUCACACCAAAGGCGAGGAUCCUUGAUCUCCACCAUAGCGAUGAAGCCAGUGUCGGAGUCGCCGUCUUCGCCAAGGAUAGUCACAAUGACGGAAAGGUCCAGGUCUGCGCGGUUGGGGCGUCAAUCACGUGUUCAACGGCAUGUCAGAGCAACUCUCUGGCCAGAGCCCUGACUAUGUGCGCUUCAGAGUCUGGCCACAGCGCCUGUUCACAUAAAUCAUCAUAUUGGCAGCCUGGAAUAUUUGGAAACAAAGAAAUAGAUGCUACUUUGAGGGUACGAAGCCUUCUGUUCAGGACUGGCUCAGGAUGUUCAAAGGUGGGUGUGGAUGGAGAAUGUUGGAAGACAUUAAAAGGUAGGAUGAUGGGAAUGCCUAUGGCAAUUUGGCAAACUUGGAGAAAACAGAUGCAAUUUUGA
RNAcentral lists this ribosomal RNA (435 nucleotides) under Triticum aestivum (bread wheat). RNAcentral describes it as "partial small subunit ribosomal RNA". The record is from RNAcentral. Lineage: Eukaryota; Viridiplantae; Streptophyta; Magnoliopsida; Poales; Poaceae.